This 341-nucleotide unclassified non-coding RNA is filed under the name uncultured fungus. RNAcentral's name for it is "partial contains 5.8S ribosomal RNA and internal transcribed spacer 2". The stretch from base 1 to 133 matches the Rfam family "5.8S ribosomal RNA", at positions 22 to 154 of the family's 154-position model. The record is from RNAcentral. Lineage: Eukaryota; Fungi.
UGGUUCCGGCAUCGAUGAAGAACGCAGCGAAAUGCGAUAAGUAAUGUGAAUUGCAGAAUUCAGUGAAUCAUCGAAUCUUUGAACGCACAUUGCGCCCCCCGGCAUUCCGGGGGGCAUGCCCGUCCGAGCGUCAUUGCACCCCGUCAAGCCCGUCGGCUUGGGUUUAGGCCGCGUCCUUGGGACCGUGUCCCGGGGACGGGCCCCAAAAGCAGUGGCGGCCCGAGUGCGACCCCCAGCGCGAUGGCAACCUUCCCCGCUGGGCGUGUGCCGCCUCGGGUCCGCGCCAGGCAACCCCGACAUCCAUCACGAUUGACCUCGGAUCGGGUAGGGAUACCCGCUGA